This 238-nucleotide ribosomal RNA is filed under the name uncultured bacterium. RNAcentral's name for it is "partial 16S ribosomal RNA". It matches the Rfam family "Bacterial small subunit ribosomal RNA", at positions 96 to 334 of the family's 1533-position model. The record is from RNAcentral.
CGGCGGACGGGUGAGUAACGCGUGGGUAACCUGCCUCAUACAGGGGAGUAACAGUUGGAAACGACUGCUAAUACCGCAUAAGCGCACAGUACCGCAUGGUACAGUGUGAAAAACUCCGGUGGUAUGAGAUGGACCCGCGUCUGAUUAGCUAGUUGGUGGGGUAACGGCCUACCAAGGCGACGAUCAGUAGCCGACCUGAGAGGGUGACCGGCCACAUUGGGACUGAGACACGGCCCAA